Molecule: long non-coding RNA, 990 nt
Filed under: Homo sapiens (human)
Lineage: Eukaryota; Metazoa; Chordata; Mammalia; Primates; Hominidae
Description: HSALNT0217282
Source: RNAcentral
CCACAGAAUCACAACAUGGCAUGAGUCUGGGACACCAUGGGGCUUCGGUACGCAGCAGCCCUCCUUUAUCUCCUUUUCUGAUGGAAACAGCAUUAAGGAAACCAAGCACAGGCUGCGAGCCAUUCAAAGACUCCCGACUCUCACGCCCUUCUCACCAUGCCUAUAUCAGUGAUCUCCUCUCAGGGUCAGAUAAAGAUCAGAGCUGGCAGUAACUCUAGAUUCUGUUGCUUAGUAGGACGUAAGUAAGGUCAGCUCCGAGGCACCUGAAGACAGCUCCGAAAUCCUUUCAUAAAAUAAAAGGCUCAGGUUCGCCAUCCUCACUCUGCGGCUCCCUGUGGCCAGUUAGAUGCCUCUGCUCCGUGUCCAGCCCAUUCCUCCCAGUGGACACGUGACAGCCCUGGAAGAGCUGGGAUGGGGGGGAAUGCAAAUGAGUGAAUAGGCCAUCAUCCCUCAGGGUCAGGGGACAGGAGAGGGCCGGGGGUGCUGAGGACAUGCACCAGGGAGACACACAAGGGGCAAUGACCUCAUGUCAGGGUCCGGAGGGUCCCCAGAAGCAGCAGAACUAACCUCGUUCCGUCUCCACCUAGGGACGGGAGCGUGCCCAGGUAUGAGGAGCGUGGGUAUGACAGGAAAGGCAAUGAGAAAGAAUACAUCCACCCCAGAGCCAGUGCAAGUGUGGAAGGCUUGGGGACUCGAAAUGGGACGCCUGGAUCUCAGUUUACACUCUCACGAGACAACUCCCUUCCCCUCCACAUCUCCACAGCAUGGCUGCACUGCAGGCAGCACUCCUCUCAAGGAGGAGUCUACAAAAUCCGAAAAGCAUGUUUUAUUUUGGUAAAAUAUACAUAACAUAAACUUUAUCAUCUUAACCAUUUUGAAGUGUUCAGCUCAGUCCUGUGAAGUACACUGACAUUGCUGUGCAGCCAUCACCACCAUCCAUCUCCACACUCCAUCUUCACACACUGAAGCUUUGUACCCAUAAACACCAAC